This 72-nucleotide transfer RNA is filed under the name Ovis aries (sheep). It matches the Rfam family "tRNA". Rfam says of the family: Transfer RNA (tRNA) molecules are approximately 80 nucleotides in length. Their secondary structure includes four short double-helical elements and three loops (D, anti-codon, and T loops). The record is from Rfam by way of RNAcentral. Lineage: Eukaryota; Metazoa; Chordata; Mammalia; Artiodactyla; Bovidae.
UCCCUGGUAUCUCAGCUGGUAAAGAAUCUGCCUGCAAUGCAGGAGGCCUGAGUUUGAUCCCUAGGUUGGGAA